AACGCACAUUGCGCCCUCUGGUAUUCCGGAGGGCAUGCCUGUUCGAGCGUCAUUAUCACCAAUCAAGCCCGGCUUGCUAUUGAGCCAUCCCCGGCCAGUCCAUCUGCCGGGGGCUCGAAAAACAGUGGCGGCGUCUUCGGCCCCGAGUACAACGAGCUUCUCUCUCAAGAGGCACGUAUUCUGGCGGUCGGCGGGCGUCGAUCCAGAACCCUCUGUCUUUCUGACGGUUGACCUCGGAUCAGGUAGGAAUACCCGCUGAACUUAA
Molecule: unclassified non-coding RNA, 265 nt
Filed under: uncultured fungus
Lineage: Eukaryota; Fungi
Description: partial contains 5.8S ribosomal RNA, internal transcribed spacer 2, and large subunit ribosomal RNA
Rfam family: 5.8S ribosomal RNA (bases 1-52)
Source: RNAcentral